GCAGGCGGUCUGUCAAGUCGGAUGUGAAAUCCCCGGGCUCAACCUGGGAACUGCAUUCGAAACUGGCAGGCUUGAGUCUUGUAGAGGGGGGUAGAAUUCCAGGUGUAGCGGUGAAAUGCGUAGAGAUCUGGAGGAAUACCGGUGGCGAAGGCGGCCCCCUGGACAAAGACUGACGCUCAGGUGCGAAAGCGUGGGGAGCAAACAGGAUUAGAUACCCUGGUAGUCCACGCCGUAAACGAUGUCUACUUGGAGGUUGUGCCCUUGAGGCGUGGCUUCCGGAGCUAACGCGUUAAGUAGACCGCCUGGGGAGUACGGCCGCAAGGUUAAAACUCAAAUGAAUUGACGGGGGCCCGCACAAGCGGUGGAGCAUGUGGUUUAAUUCGAUGCAACGCGAAGAACCUUAC
This 404-nucleotide ribosomal RNA is filed under the name Salmonella enterica. RNAcentral describes it as "bacterial SSU rRNA". It matches the Rfam family "Bacterial small subunit ribosomal RNA", at positions 571 to 974 of the family's 1533-position model. RNAcentral also lists the same sequence under 1 other name. The record is from RNAcentral. Lineage: Bacteria; Pseudomonadati; Pseudomonadota; Gammaproteobacteria; Enterobacterales; Enterobacteriaceae.